UACGAAGGGGGCUAGCGUUGCUCGGAAUUACUGGGCGUAAAGCGCACGUAGGCGGCUUUCUAAGUCAGGGGUGAAAUCCUGGAGCUCAACUCCAGAACUGCCUUUGAUACUGGAGAGCUUGAGUCCGGGAGAGGUGAGUGGAACUCCGAGUGUAGAGGUGAAAUUCGUAGAUAUUCGGAAGAACACCAGUGGCGAAGGCGGCUCACUGGCCCGGUACUGACGCUGAGGUGCGAAAGCGUGGGGAGCAAACAGG
Molecule: ribosomal RNA, 253 nt
Filed under: uncultured bacterium
Lineage: Bacteria
Description: partial 16S ribosomal RNA
Rfam family: Bacterial small subunit ribosomal RNA
Source: RNAcentral